This 227-nucleotide small RNA is filed under the name Marmota monax (woodchuck). The record is from RNAcentral. Lineage: Eukaryota; Metazoa; Chordata; Mammalia; Rodentia; Sciuridae.
UAAAUAUGCUAAAAUUAUUUAUCUAGGCUUUUAUCUGGAAUAUCACUUAUUUAAUUUAAAAAUUAAAUGAGCUUUUUUAAAUCACUAUGAUCCAGUAGAGGAUUUGUGUGUGUGUGUGAGUGUGUGUGUGUGUGUGUGUGUGUGUGUGGUGCUGAGUAUUGAACCCAGGGCUUCUGUGCAUGCAAAGCAACUGAGCUUUAUCCCCAGCCCCAGUGGAGGAAUUUUAA